CCCUGGUUAGCUCAAGUGAUAGAGCGCUCCACAGGAAAUGGAAAGAUCCCGAGUUCGAAACCCGGACCAGGCG
Molecule: transfer RNA, 73 nt
Filed under: Ixodes scapularis (black-legged tick)
Lineage: Eukaryota; Metazoa; Arthropoda; Arachnida; Ixodida; Ixodidae
Description: tRNA-Ser for anticodon GGA
Source: RNAcentral